GGAGAUUCAGGGAAGUUAAGUGACUGGCUCGAGAAUUGCUCAGCUAAUGACGGGCGGAGCAGGAAUCCACCCUCGCCUCCUGGUUCUUUCCGUUGGGCUGUGCCCUUGCUUCGUUGAUCAUCCCUUGGAAAGCAGUUCUGAAGAUUUUCCAUCUUGAUAAUGAAAUGGGACUUUUUGAAAGCUGUCGGCUGAGGAGGAAGAAGGGAGAGAGUGAGGAAGUUGUGCCCAUAGAAGUUGCUCCUAAUUUUGCCCCUGUCAGCAAAGGGGGCAAUGAAUUGUUUCUUGCUGCUGAAGCUUUGGAACCUUCUUGUGUAUUACAGCGACAAUUGUGGCUACGCCUUCCCAGGGAAGUGGAGCACCCAGGAGAGGGGCACCCUUUCCUGCUAUUUGCCUUCACCCCCACCAGCCUCCCCGGGGCCUUGAAAGGCCCUGGCUUGCCUGCAGCCCCAGGGCUCAUCUCACAGAGGUGCUUCAAAGCUCCCAUCUUGGCCUCAGGCUGUGUCUGGCUUCCCCUGAGAGGCCCAGGAGCUGGGCUUCCAGAUGCGCCUGCUGCAUUGAACGGUCCCCACUGGGGAGCUUUGGUGGGCUAAGUAGGAAGCCCCCACCCCUGCAGGCUGCACAGAGGCCCAGAUGCCGUGGGGGAAAACUUCCUGGUGCCUGCCACCAGCCUUGGAGACUUCUGAGGUCCUCUGUGCUGACCCAUAGGUGGGCUGCCCAUGGGGUAAGGGGCCCCAUGGAGCUCUGAGACCCGGAUUAGCAUUUUAAAGAAAGGUCAGCAAGAAAGAAUUUCUGAGACCUGCUGGGAGCAGAAGGGAUGUUGGUGAGGAAAGUUCACCCCCCCCCCAAGUUUUCAACAGGCCCAUCUGCUGACCAGGUGGCAUUUGAGGGGGCAGAGAAGGCACCAGAUAAGGAAUGGGAGAGUUGGAUUUGAACUUCAGCUUAGCCAUUGGUGAGCAAAGAAUUUGGGCAGGUUAUUUCAUACCUCCAAGCCUUACUGUCCUCCCUUCUCAAAAGUAAAAGCCAGACAGAAAGACCUCA
Ailuropoda melanoleuca (giant panda) is the source of this 1038-nucleotide long non-coding RNA. RefSeq lists it as uncharacterized. The transcript has 3 exons. The record is from RefSeq and is a predicted model, not a curated record. Lineage: Eukaryota; Metazoa; Chordata; Mammalia; Carnivora; Ursidae.